GCCAGGGUAGCUCAAUUGGUAGAGCAGGAAAUUUGUAAUUUUCAGGUUAAGGGUUCGAGCCCCUUCCCUGGCU
RNAcentral lists this transfer RNA (73 nucleotides) under Candidatus Nealsonbacteria bacterium CG_4_9_14_3_um_filter_37_13. RNAcentral's name for it is "tRNA-Thr". It matches the Rfam family "tRNA". Rfam says of the family: Transfer RNA (tRNA) molecules are approximately 80 nucleotides in length. Their secondary structure includes four short double-helical elements and three loops (D, anti-codon, and T loops). The record is from RNAcentral. Lineage: Bacteria; Candidatus Nealsoniibacteriota.